UUUUUUUUUCUUUCUUUUUUUAUUUUUUCCCAAUAAAUUGUCUGCGCCGCACAGUGUUUAGGCUGCAAAUUUUUCUGAUGUAUUUGCCAUACUGCAGCAGGGCUCAUAUGUCAGGUGGGUUUUUUUAUCAGUGACGCCUUUUCUUGAUGGCAGUGAAACCUUUUUCUGAUGGCAUGCAACACUUCAUGAAACUCAUCCGGUACUAGUACUGCAACCAAAAACAAUGGACAACCAGUGAGAUGAAAUAUGCAGAUCUAGUGCAUCCUUAUGAACCUUUUGACACACAAAGCACUGGAAUAUCCAUGUCCUGAAUGGUCCCUGCUGAACAGAGAAGAUGACCUCUAAACAGAGGUAAGUAUUUCCAUACUGUGCUGGUUAUGCAUGAGAUGGAGUUAAAUUUCUUCCCAGUAGGGCUAUGUUUUGGAUUUGUUCUGAACACAGGGUUGAUAACACAGGGAUGUUUUUAUAAUUGCCAAGCAGGUCUCACACAGAGCCAAGGCCUUUUCUGCUUCUCAAACACCCACAUCAGCAACCAGGCUGGGAGUGCACAAGGAGAUGGGAGAGCACUCAGCUGGGACAGCUGAUCCCAGCUGAUAUUCCAGACCACCAUGCUCAGUAGAGAAAGUGGGGUGGAAGCAGGAGGAAGGGGGGGAUGUUUGGAGCGAUGGUGUUUGUCUUCCCAAGUCACCAUUACACAAGACGUGGCCCUGCUCUCCUGGAGAUGGCUGAACAUCUGCUGCCGUGGGAAGCAGGGAAUUAAUUCCUCGUCUUGCUUUGCUUUCAUGGGCAGCUUUUGCUUUUUCUAUUAACCUGUCUUUAUAUCAAUCCACAGGUUUUCUAGCUUUUAACCAUCCAGUUCUCACCCCAGUCCCACUGGUGGGGAGUGAGCAAGUAGCAGUGUGGGGUUUAUCUGUUGACUGGAGUGAAGCUAUAACACAUACUCCUGGACAGUGUAUUUCCACUUCUCUUUGAAAUAGUUGGCCUUUCUUAACUGCAUCACACGGUUAGAAGUGCAGUGCACAAUCUUUUUUUUUUCUCUCAGCUAUUACCAACUUCUGUGACCUGUACAUCGUGUAGAUUUAUCUUUCUCUGGAUCUAUUAAAUUCCCUCUAAUUAUUGGGAAUUUGGGGUUGUUGUUUUGUUUGGAGUUUUUGUGUGUUGCAGGGGGAGGGUUUGUGUGUUUUUCUGUUGUUGUGAUGUGUCAUUCUUCUCUGCCAAAGUCCUCCACACAUUAUUCCUAUGUGGUUUAUUCCCUCAGAAACUCUAGCACCUUUCACUGUUUUGGCACUUCAGCUCUAUUCUUGUUCAAUCUGUUUGUUUGUUUGAUUGUUAAUAUAGCCAAGCAUGACAUUGCAGCAAUGAAAGUUCUUCCACCUCUCACAUUCUACUCAGUUGUGACACUAACUGUUUGAGUUUUAGAGGGCAGUUGUUUUCUUUAUCCAUUGCACUGUACUUAAUAAAUUGAUCUUCUAUCACUGGUAUGUCAAAACAUGUUUUAAAGCUCAUACAGUGGAAAUCUUUUCAUUUUAUUAUUUUGAAACAGUUUUUUCUAUUUUUUUUUUUUAAGAACUGAAUCAUUGGAAUAGUAGUUCUGCUUCCUAUAUCUAUCAUAACUUCAGCAUUCUGAUCAGUGAUUUCACUACUGUCUGCAUCAUUAAAAGCACACUCUGCAGGAAGCUGGAGGUAAUGCUUGCAGUCUCUUCAUCUAAUCUCAUACUCAAAAAUGCAUCUGAUUACUAACGUGUCAGCUUGGUCUAACUUUCUGUGAUAUUCCCCUAGUCUAGUUCUGUAAUGAAACUCCACUGAGUAAACACCUCCUGUAAAUGUGCCCUUCUAUCUUGGGUAAAAUUAUAUCUGUACACACAUAUAUAUAUAUAAAAUUUUGUAUCUUGUCAGCAUUGCACACUUUGUGCCAGUGUGCAGAGUUUCAUCCAAGCAGAACUAAUAACCAUUAAAAUCUGGAAGCUGACCACAGAUCAUCCUAAGCACAGCAAUGAUUUCAAGAAUUGAAAUAAGGGUGAAGAUUCCCUCCACCUGGAAAAACUCGUUCUCCAGCUGUCUAGUUCUGAUUCAGCCUUGCUGUGACAUUCACGCUGGCCACUCCUCAAGUGGUUACUCAGUGAAGAUGUUGUUUUGUGCAGUUUUGCUUCCUUUAGUCUAAAGAUGGAUUCCUUUUGCAAGGUAGGUUGAUUUCUAGAUGAACUGUAGACUAGAGAGCUGCUGAAUUUAAACACUGACCUUUAGCUUUCCUACCACCUCCAUUGAUGCACAAUUUCAUUUUAUUCAUAGUGAGAUUUGAAAAACUAUUUUUGGUAUAAACAGAAAACAUUUCCUUAAGUCAGUAAUGUAGCAAAUUGGCCCAUUUGAUCAGUUUUGCUUGAUUUGUUUUAAUAGAAAUAAACCUCACUGCAGCCAGUUUGGGGGAAAUUUGUCAGCUACUCUUUUUUUUUAAAUGUAGAAAUUACUCCCCAAGAAGAUUGAUGAGUUUGAGUUACAUGAUGUAUUUGCUGAAGUUCACAUUAUUUUUUCUUUUGUUAUGGACAAAUGUCUUGAUCUAACUUUCUGUGGUUCACAAGAAAAGACAUAUUUAGCCUGUAUCUAAGCUUAAUCUAUUUUAUGUGGUAUAGAGGAAAGAGGGUAAAUUGCAGUUGAGGUAAACAUUUGAAUAAUUAAAAUAAUGCUCCAAAGAUAAAGUGAUACCCUAAUGCUGUGGUACUACUCUGAUAAUAUGGGUAUGAAUGAUAACUACAGUUUCAGCUCUGACUCCAAAAAUCCUUCAUAAUAGUGCAAGUAGCUGCACAAAUUUUUAGCAUGUGGCAGCACACUAAGUUACUAAUGCUUUGUGAGUAAGUGUGAUCAGUUAUAAAAGCUAUAAAAGCUGAUAUCUUUAUUAAAUUGAACUCCUCUUAUCUGCUUUUUGGCCAUCCUUUCUUUCUAAUGCCAAUAUUUGUGCAUCAGAGGAAGCAUGGAAACUGUGCAGUUGUUCAUUUGCAACAUGAUGAUCAACCAGUGCUGUUGGCUUGCUGCCAUUCAUUCCUCCCCUACAGUGUAGGUGUCGAGCUGGCAAUCCCUGAGCACAAGUCAUGAGAAGCGGUGCCAUGGGAAAAGGGAUAGCCAAAGGGAUAGCCAAAGACACUGCUUAAGAGCAAUGCACAGGAUAAAUCAGCUUUAGUGGGUGCACUAAGAGAAGAGUAGAACUAAUUUCUACAUCUUGAAUCUGAAUAACAUGUCAAUUCAUUACACAGGAUAUGAACAAAUAAGUAAUUCAAAUAGGAGCUGUCUAUUAGUGGGGAAAAAAAUCCAGUAGUAUUUCUGUGGCUGAGCAGUGCAGACAAGAUUGCUGAAAUCCAUUGUGCAGAUCACUUGAACUGCUCUGAAACUUGUAAUUUUUAUAUUUGUUAAUAUUUUGGCAACUUCCUCCACAUGCGGUUAACCCUAACAUUAUUUGUCAUCUGAACUUCUUACAGUAUUUUACUGUUAUUUCUAUUGGUUUUCCCCCCCUCCACGCAGCCCCCCGAAUGAAUCCGACUAGCUCAGAGAUAUGGGGCUGUGAGGGGAGGAAAUAGCAGAAGAGGGAAAGGUAUUCGGAAGAGGCUCUUACCCAGGGUGUUGGAACAGCUCUCUUUAUUCUGUGGUGUCCAUGGAGAGCGGGGCAAAAGAGAAAGAGCAGGAAGUUUCAGGGGUCUAUAUAGGUUUUGGACAGGGUGGGCACUCCUGGCUCCCCGCCAACCCCAUUGGGGCAGGAGGGAGGAUUCAGGGGUUAUCAUGAUCAGAGCCACAGAGGCCCUAGGAAAGGGGGGACAAAAGGAUGUCCAGGAGCUCACCGUAACACCUCCCCCUUAUUUGUUAAACAAGGUUACAGGAAUUCACUGGGCUCAAUUCAACCCCGAGUAUGGGUUUCCCACCACCCCAUGUUGGUGGCGUGGUCAGGCCUCCUCAGGUUAGCCAACUCUAUGUGGUUGACCUCUGAGGUAGAAGGUAUGAGGCCCUUGAUAGCUUUGAAAAUCAAGUGACGCAGGAUCCCGAACGCUAGGGUUACAAAGAACAGAAUAACAAAGACUAACAAAAUUGAUCUAACUACAGAUGUCCACCACCCCGCGAAUCCCCAUCCCUUGAACAUUCUCUUCAGCAUUUGCAGGAUGACAACUUGCAUGGGGUUCAUCACAGGGUUGAGUGGAAGGUAGGUUUUCUCUAAAAGGGAAGAACAAACAUUUUAAGAACAUGUUAAAGCUUCUGUUUCUGCCGGAAGGAAUUCCUGCCUAGGAACUUUCUUCUUCUCCCAUCCGGCGGCGUCUUCUCUUUGAAGCAUCAGAUACCUGCUUCUUGUCCCCUUCUGUUUGACCUGGAUUCUUGGGGACAAAAGGUUUCACCCACUUCUGGGGAAUCCACCGAGGGCCUGAGGGAGUAGCUACACACGCAUAGCCACGACCCCAGGUCACAAGUUCAUAGGGACCCUUGGUUUCCCAAGUUUCUGGAUCCCUGAUCAAGACCGGUGGAUGCUGAGACAAUUUAAACUGCUUGCCACUGUUAAAGUGACGUACAACAGGUGGACUCAUGUUUUCGAAUGAACAAUUCAGAAAAUUGAUAGUAAACAUGGCUUUACAGAGCCUCUUUCGUGGAGACAUCCACAGAGCUGAGCUGUUUUGUUUUUUCAAUACCUGCUUGAGCGUCUGGUGUGCACGCUCGACUACAGCUUGACCUGUGGGGGAGUGGGCAAUGCCAGUCUUAUGUUCCACUCCCCACUGCUGGAGAAAUUCCAGGAACUCCUUGGAUACAUACGCUGGGCCAUUAUCUGCUUUGAUCGUUUUUGGCACCCCCAAUACUGAAAAUGCUUGUACUAGGUGUUGUUUGACAUGUGCAGCCUUUUGUCCUAUAUGGGCAGAGGCAUACACUGCACCUGAGAAUGUGUCCACGCUUACAUGAACGCAUUCAAGGCGACCAAAACUCUGAAUGUGUGUGAUGUCUGUCUGCCAUACCUCACAGCUGCUAAGGCCUCUGGGGUUUACCCCCAUGCCUAAGGAUGGCACGGCGUGGAGCUGACAAUUAGGACAGUUGGUCACAAUGGCUCGAGCCUGACUCCGUGUUAGCUGGAACUGCCGAAUCAAACCUGGCACGUUCUGGUGGUAAUGCUGGUGACUCAGCUUUGCCUGUUGGAAAACAUCAGGGAGACUUGCCUUUUCAACUGGUGCAGCGAAGGAGUCUGCUUUUCGGUUCCCCUCUGCAAUCUCACCUGGCAAAUCAGUGUGUGACCUCACAUGCAUCACAAAGAAUGGAUGUUCUCGGUGCGAGAUUAAAUAAAUUAGCCUUGAGA
Molecule: long non-coding RNA, 5311 nt
Organism: Taeniopygia guttata (zebra finch)
Lineage: Eukaryota; Metazoa; Chordata; Aves; Passeriformes; Estrildidae
Source: Ensembl